CGCGUAGGCGGUUUGACAAGUCUGAUGUGAAAUCUCUGGGCUCAACCCAGAGUCUGCAUUAGAAACUGUCGGGCUUGAGUAUGGGAGAGGUGAGUGGAAUUUCCGGUGUAGCGGUGAAAUGCGUAGAUAUCGGAAGGAACACCUGUGGCGAAAGCGGCUCACUGGACCAUAACUGACGCUGAGGCGCGAAAGCUAGGGGAGCAAACAGGAUUAGAUACCCUGGUAGUCCUAGCCCUAAACGAUGAUUGCUUGGUGUGACAGGUACCCAAUCCUGUCGUGCCGAAGCUAACGCGAUAAGCAAUCCGCCUGGGGAGUACGGUCGCAAGGCUGAA
This 332-nucleotide ribosomal RNA is filed under the name uncultured Edaphobacter sp. Its description in RNAcentral is "bacterial SSU rRNA". It matches the Rfam family "Bacterial small subunit ribosomal RNA", at positions 568 to 898 of the family's 1533-position model. Lineage: Bacteria; Pseudomonadati; Acidobacteriota; Terriglobia; Terriglobales; Acidobacteriaceae. The record is from RNAcentral.